This 412-nucleotide ribosomal RNA is filed under the name Bacillus amyloliquefaciens. Its description in RNAcentral is "bacterial SSU rRNA". It matches the Rfam family "Bacterial small subunit ribosomal RNA", at positions 165 to 564 of the family's 1533-position model. The record is from RNAcentral. Lineage: Bacteria; Bacillati; Bacillota; Bacilli; Caryophanales; Bacillaceae. RNAcentral also lists the same sequence under 1 other name.
AAUACCGGGGUUGUCUGAACCGCAUGGUUCAGACAUAAAAGGUGGCUUCGGCUACCACUUACAGAUGGACCCGCGGCGCAUUAGCUAGUUGGUGAGGUAACGGCUCACCAAGGCAACGAUGCGUAGCCGACCUGAGAGGGUGAUCGGCCACACUGGGACUGAGACACGGCCCAGACUCCUACGGGAGGCAGCAGUAGGGAAUCUUCCGCAAUGGACGAAAGUCUGACGGAGCAACGCCGCGUGAGUGAUGAAGGUUUUCGGAUCGUAAAGCUCUGUUGUUAGGGAAGAACAAGUGCCGUUCAAAUAGGGCUGUUCCUUGACGGUACCUAACCAGAAAGCCACGGCUAACUACGUGCCAGCAGCCGCGGUAAUACGUAGGUGGCAAGCGUUGUCCGGAAUUAUUGGGCUCGCA